GUAACUCCUGAUUAUCAUAAAUCACCUCACCACUUUAGAGCAAUUCAAAUGAGGUACAGCCCAUUUGAUAUAGGAUACAACCUUAACUAACGGGUAACAUUAAAUCUACACCUCCAAGUAGGCCUAAGAGCAGCCACCCUUUAAAAAAGCGUCAAAGCUUAAUCAUGUUCACAUCAAUUUUUAAUCUUCAAUUGACCCCUUUUACCUUACUGAGAAUUUCUAUAUCAUAUAGAAUAUUUUAUGCUAAAACUAGUAACAAGAGUAAACCCUCUCCCAAUGCAAACACAAGCCAGCAAGAACCCAUCACUGGCAAUUAACAGACUUAAACAAAAGUAGCAACAUCUCUAGAAAACCCUACUCAUCCCAACUGUUAACCUUAUACCAGAGCAUUUCAGGAAAGAUUAAAAGAAAAAGAAGGAACUCGGCAAACACUAAUCCCGCCUGUUUACCAAAAACAUCGCCUCUUGCCCCCAUAAGAGGUCAAGCCUGCCCAGUGACUUUGUUCAACGGCCGCGGUAUCCUAACCGUGCAAAGGUAGCGUAAUCACUUGUUUUCUAAAUAAAGACCAGUAUGAAAGGCAUCACGAGGAUUAAACUGUCUCCUUUUUCCAAUCAGUGAAACUAAUCUCCCCGUGAAGAAGCGGGGAUUAUCCUAUAAGACGAG
This 663-nucleotide ribosomal RNA is filed under the name Pristimantis tinguichaca. RNAcentral describes it as "partial 16S ribosomal RNA". The stretch from base 399 to 645 matches the Rfam family "Archaeal large subunit ribosomal RNA", at positions 1787 to 2143 of the family's 2987-position model. Lineage: Eukaryota; Metazoa; Chordata; Amphibia; Anura; Strabomantidae. The record is from RNAcentral.